This 785-nucleotide ribosomal RNA is filed under the name uncultured fungus. RNAcentral describes it as "eukaryotic LSU rRNA". It matches the Rfam family "Eukaryotic large subunit ribosomal RNA", at positions 24 to 664 of the family's 3401-position model. The record is from RNAcentral. Lineage: Eukaryota; Fungi.
CCCGCUGAACUUAAGCAUAUCAAUAAGCCGGUGGAAAAGAAACUAACAAGGAUUCCCUGCAGUAACUGCGAGUGAAGCAGGGAAGAGCAUCACAUUUAAAAUCUGGCGUCACCACAGCACGCGAAUUGCUUUCCUACAAGAGGUGUUAUCCAGACUCUAGAUUAUAGUACAAGUUUCCUGGAAUGGAACAUCCCAGAGGGAGAAAAUCCCAUCUGGACCAGCAACUAUUGGCCAUAUCAGACGUUCUCAAAGAGUCGAGUUGUCUGGGAGUGCCGCUCACAAUGCGAGGUAAAUUUCUUCUAACGCUAACUCACCGCCAGAGACCUAUAGCUAACAAGUACCGUGAGGGAAAGAUGAAAAGCACCUUGAAAAGGGAGUUAAAAGCGCGUGAAAUUGUUAAAAGGGAAACAAUUGAAGCCAGUAGGACCAUGGAGAGUUCAGCGGUACCCAUUGAGUAUUGUUGCGACGAGAAUGCUUUACUGCAUCUCUAGCAAUGUACGCAGGUGGACUGCCGUGCAUUCUUUUCAUGGUUAGUCAGUGUCAAUUUGGGUUGUCGCAAAAGGACCUGGAGAAGGUGGCCAAUGCUUCGGUAUCGGCUUUAUAGCUCCUCGUAGAUACGAUGACCUGGAUUGGAAUCGACAACAGCUAACAGAGGUGCUGGAUCUGCGGUUGUGAACAUUUGAGAAUCAGUAGAGUCUUGGAUGGUAUCUAACCGAGAAAAGGUAUCUUGGAUGCUGUGGUGAGUACUGACGAAAUGGCCUUAAACGACCCGUCUUGAAACACGG